GCGGGUUGUCAAGUUGGGGGUGAAAUCUCGCUGCUUAACCCCGAGGCUGCCUUCAAAACUGGUAGGCUAGAGUGCGGUAGAGGUAGAUGGAAUUCCCGGUGUAGCGGUGAAAUGCGUAGAGAUCGGGAAGAACAUCAGUGGCGAAGGCGGUCUGCUGGGCCUUUGCUGACGCUGAGGCACGACAGCGUGGGGAGCAAACAGGAUUAGAUACCCUGGUAGUCCACGCCGUAAACGAUGAUUGCUAGGUGUGGGGGGGAGCACCCCUCCCGGUGCCGACUCUAACGCAUAAAGUGUCCCGCCUGGGAAGUACGGCCCCAAGGCUGAAACUCAAAGAAAUUGACGGGGGCCCCCACAACCGGGGAAGCAUGUGUUUUAAUUCAAACCACCCCAAAAAACCUUACCUGUCUUUGACAUGCACGGGAAAGCCGGUGGAAACAUCGUGCCCCUCCUCGGAGUCCUUGCACAGGUGGUGCAUGGUUGUCGUCAGCUCGUGUCGUGAGAUGUUGGGUUAAGUCCCGCAACGAGCGCAACCCUUGU
This 537-nucleotide ribosomal RNA is filed under the name uncultured bacterium. RNAcentral describes it as "bacterial SSU rRNA". It matches the Rfam family "Bacterial small subunit ribosomal RNA", at positions 575 to 1108 of the family's 1533-position model. The record is from RNAcentral.